This is a long non-coding RNA of Gallus gallus (chicken), 581 nucleotides long. The record is from Ensembl. NCBI's taxonomy places the organism in Eukaryota, Metazoa, Chordata, Aves, Galliformes, Phasianidae.
GGGGAGCCGGGGCGGUGCGGCGCCCUCUCACGUGGGUCCUUCCUGAGUGACCAGAGCAGCAACAGUGCGGCUGCGAGGUGAUGGCCCCCAGAUCCCUGACAUGGUCACACCUGUACAUAAGCUGACAUCUAUGCCAUACUGUCCAAAUGAGUUGGCAACGGAUAACAGUCACCUCGAGGUUCUUAGGGGGUCUCUGGUUAUCUGCCCUCGGUGUCAUGAGCUGAUUCCCAGCACACAGCACCCGCUUUGAGGGCAUUUCCUUCACCUGGCAUGGCUUCUCCUGGAUCCCCUUGUGCCGUUCCUGGUCCAGCAGGUCUUGAUGCUGAGCGUGUGGGACAGUUCCUAUUUCCCUGUGUGAGUUUUCGUGGUGGGUUUCCCCUCAAAACCCAUUCUGCAAAGUGUUUGCUGUUUCCUUCCGUCCGCUCCUUGCAGACGCCUAUUUUAGAGGCUGCCUUUGGAAGCUGCGAUCGUGGCUGUCCUUCACACGAGGUCAGGUUAAUUUGGGACUCAUCCCUGGCAUGUCACUGAUUUACAGAUCUGUCUCGACGAGCCUAUUUUGGGUAAAUUCACCUCACCUCCCC